CAGUAGCCGCGGUAAUACGAAGGGUGCAAGCGUUACUCGGAAUUACUGGGCGUAAAGCGUGCGUAGGUGGUGGUUUAAGUCCGUUGUGAAAGCCCUGGGCUCAACCUGGGAAUUGCAGUGGAUACUGGGUCACUAGAGUGUGGUAGAGGAUAGUGGAAUUUCCGGUGUAGCAGUGAAAUGCGUAGAGAUCGGAAGGAACAUCUGUGGCGAAGGCGGCCAUCUGGGACAACACUGACGCUGGAGCACGAAAGCGUGGGGAGCAAACAGGAUUAGAUACCCGAGUAGUCCCUGUCUCUUAUAC
This 301-nucleotide ribosomal RNA is filed under the name uncultured bacterium. Its description in RNAcentral is "partial 16S ribosomal RNA". It matches the Rfam family "Bacterial small subunit ribosomal RNA", at positions 509 to 807 of the family's 1533-position model. The record is from RNAcentral.